UAUGGCAUACCCAUUCCAAUUAGGCUUUCAAGAUGCAACAUCACCUGUGAUAGAACUUCUACACUUCCAUGAUUACACUUUAAUCAUCAUUUUCUUAAUUAGCUCUUCAGUCCUUUGUAUCAUUUCAUUAAUAGUAACAACUAAACUAGCCCACAUGAGUACUGUAGAUACUCAAGAAGUAAAAACUGCAUGAACUACCCUACUGAUAUUUUAAUCCUAACUGCUUUACCACCUUUACAAAUCCUAU
This 247-nucleotide long non-coding RNA is filed under the name Homo sapiens (human). Its description in RNAcentral is "non-protein coding lnc-ATP6V1C1-5:1". The record is from RNAcentral. Lineage: Eukaryota; Metazoa; Chordata; Mammalia; Primates; Hominidae.